This 482-nucleotide ribosomal RNA is filed under the name uncultured bacterium. RNAcentral describes it as "partial 16S ribosomal RNA". It matches the Rfam family "Bacterial small subunit ribosomal RNA", at positions 30 to 506 of the family's 1533-position model. The record is from RNAcentral.
AUUGAACGCUGGCGGCAGGCCUAACACAUGCAAGUCGAGCGGAUGAAGGGAGCUUGCUCCUGGAUUCAGCGGCGGACGGGUGAGUAAUGCCUAGGAAUCUGCCUGGUAGUGGGGGAUAACGUCCGGAAACGGGCGCUAAUACCGCAUACGUCCUGAGGGAGAAAGUGGGGGAUCUUCGGACCUCACGCUAUCAGAUGAGCCUAGGUCGGAUUAGCUAGUUGGUGGGGUAAAGGCCUACCAAGGCGACGAUCCGUAACUGGUCUGAGAGGAUGAUCAGUCAAACUGAAACGAGGACCCGUCCAGAAUUCUAAGGGAGGGAGCAGGUGGGAAUUUUGGAAAAAGGGGGAAAGGCCUGUUCAGGCCAGGCGCGGGGGUUGAGGAGGGCCUCGGAUUUGAAAGCCACUUUAGGUGGGAAGAAGGGGAGGAAGUUAAUACCUUGCUGUUUUGACGUUACCAACAGAAUAAGCACCGGCUAACUUCGU